RNAcentral lists this ribosomal RNA (253 nucleotides) under uncultured bacterium. Its description in RNAcentral is "partial 16S ribosomal RNA". It matches the Rfam family "Bacterial small subunit ribosomal RNA", at positions 524 to 776 of the family's 1533-position model. The record is from RNAcentral.
UACAGAGGUCUCAAGCGUUGUUCGGAUUCAUUGGGCGUAAAGGGUGCGUAGGCGGCUCGGUAAGUCGGGUGUGAAAUUUCGGAGCUUAACUCCGAAACUGCAUUCGAUACUGCGGUGCUUGAGGACUGGAGAGGAGACUGGAAUUCAUGGUGUAGCAGUGAAAUGCGUAGAGAUCAUGAGGAAGACCAGUGGCGAAGGCGGGGCUCUGGACAGUUCCUGACGCUGAGACACGAAGGCCAGGGGAGCAAACGGG